This 472-nucleotide ribosomal RNA is filed under the name uncultured bacterium. RNAcentral describes it as "bacterial SSU rRNA". It matches the Rfam family "Bacterial small subunit ribosomal RNA", at positions 355 to 825 of the family's 1533-position model. The record is from RNAcentral.
UCGGGAAUUUUGGGCAAUGGGCGAAAGCCUGACCCAGCAACGCCGCGUGAGUGAUGAAGGCCUUCGGGUCGUAAAGCUCUGUGGGGAAGGACGAAAAAACAUUGGCUAAUAUCCAAUGGCUUGACGGUACUUCCUUAGCAAGCACCGGCUAACUCUGUGCCAGCAGCCGCGGUAAUACAGAGGGUGCAAACGUUGCUCGGAAUCAUUGGGCGUAAAGCGCACGUAGGCGGCCUGAUAAGUCGGUAGUGAAAGCCCUCGGCUUAACCGAGGAAGUGCUAUCGAAACUGCCAGGCUUGAGUACCGGAGAGGAUCGCGGAAUUCCCGGUGUAGAGGUGAAAUUCGUAGAUAUCGGGAAGAACACCAGUGGCGAAGGCGGCUAACUGGUCCGGUACUGACGCUGAGGUGCGAAAGCGUGGGGAGCAAACGGGAUUAGAUACCCCUGUAGUCCCUGGAGCGGGCUGGCAAGGCGCAU